Octopus sinensis (East Asian common octopus) is the source of this 334-nucleotide long non-coding RNA. RefSeq lists it as uncharacterized. NCBI's taxonomy places the organism in Eukaryota, Metazoa, Mollusca, Cephalopoda, Octopoda, Octopodidae. The transcript is spliced from 2 exons. The record is from RefSeq and is a predicted model, not a curated record.
AGACAACAAAUAUGAAAUCGUUAUGUGGUCUCUCGACCUGCUAGAAAAAGCUGCUAAAUCUUCCUUAAAUUGUAUCAUAACGUCUAAAAAAACGGUAAGACAUGUUAUAUGACGUCGUGGUGUUGGUGGUAGUGGGCAUUUUUUUUUUUCCAUUCAUAAUUGGAGCACCGAUGCAUCGUUUCAUAAAGUAAUCCAACACAAAAAAAAAGUGUUGUGAUGAACUACAUGUUUUGAAAAUAAUCUGUUGAAGUUUGAAAAACUUCAGGUGGUUAGAAGAAAUUUAACAAGAUCCAAGCUGCUUACCACAGAGCCAUGAUUAAACUUUUUAAAUACA